Armigeres subalbatus is the source of this 578-nucleotide long non-coding RNA. RefSeq lists it as uncharacterized. The transcript is spliced from 2 exons. The record is from RefSeq and is a predicted model, not a curated record. NCBI's taxonomy places the organism in Eukaryota, Metazoa, Arthropoda, Insecta, Diptera, Culicidae.
GGUGGCUAUUUUGUGUUUGUGGACCAUUGCCGAAUUGCAGUGUGCUCUAUUCCGCGGAUCUAUCUAUCGGCAUUUUCGCUUCCAUUUCAAUUGUCCAGCAGGAAGAUAAAAAUGUAAACCUGUAACGCAUAAUUGCGUACUUUUAGUGGGAAAUUAAUCCGUGCUUCCACUUUCACCAAUAGUUAGUGAAUCGCCCUCGAGCACGUCUGAUUUUUUCGCGAAGGUGUGUCCUUUCAGCCUCGGUUCGCAGUGAAUUUUGUAGCGAAGAAUGCGGCCCACCUCAAUUUUCGGCAUACCUGAAAUAGUGUAGUGGGCGGAAAUGUGAACACCAUAUCCUUCGUUGGAUGCAAAACGAUUUGAAGAACGAAUAGUGAAGGUGAUUUUGUAAAAUAUUUGGCCAAACAGUGAGGGAUUCGGCUUCUGAAUUAGGUACAUGUUGCUUGUUUGAUCGAACUCCAUUUGAGGAUUAUCAAAAUUGCCUCCGACGGAAGAAGAUCUCCUCGUAAAGGUAUUGCUCGAGGAUUCCCCGGACGUGGAGGCAUUGUUGCGGCUGAGUGUGCCCGUUUAGAUAUCGAAGG